UAAGAGAUGGUCCCGCGGUGCAUUAGCUAGAUGGUGAGGUAACGGCUCACCAUGGCCAUGAUGCAUAGCCGAGUUGAGAGACUGAUCGGCCACAAUGGGACUGAGACACGGCCCAUACUCCUACGGGAGGCAGCAGUAGGGAAUCUUCCACAAUGGGCGCAAGCCUGAUGGAGCAACGCCGCGUGUGUGAUGAAGGGUUUCGGCUCGUAAAGCACUGUUGUAAGAGAAGAAUGACGUUGAGAGUAACUGUUCAAC
RNAcentral lists this ribosomal RNA (255 nucleotides) under uncultured bacterium. Its description in RNAcentral is "partial 16S ribosomal RNA". It matches the Rfam family "Bacterial small subunit ribosomal RNA", at positions 219 to 473 of the family's 1533-position model. The record is from RNAcentral.